UACGGAGGAUCCAAGCGUUAUCCGGAAUUACUGGGCGUAAAGAGUUGCGUAGGUGGCAUGGCAAGUAGAUAGUGAAAGCGUUCGGCUCAACCGAAUACACAUUAUCUAAACUGCCAAGCUAGAGAAUGGUAGAGGUUACUGGAAUUCCCGGUGUAGGAGUGAAAUCCGUAGAUAUCGGGAGGAACACCAAUGGCGUAGGCAGGUAACUGGGCCAUUUCUGACACUAAGGCACGAAAGCGUGGGGAGCAAA
RNAcentral lists this ribosomal RNA (250 nucleotides) under uncultured bacterium. Its description in RNAcentral is "partial 16S ribosomal RNA". It matches the Rfam family "Bacterial small subunit ribosomal RNA", at positions 524 to 772 of the family's 1533-position model. The record is from RNAcentral.